RNAcentral lists this ribosomal RNA (503 nucleotides) under uncultured Desulfobulbus sp. RNAcentral describes it as "bacterial SSU rRNA". It matches the Rfam family "Bacterial small subunit ribosomal RNA", at positions 904 to 1382 of the family's 1533-position model. The record is from RNAcentral. Lineage: Bacteria; Pseudomonadati; Thermodesulfobacteriota; Desulfobulbia; Desulfobulbales; Desulfobulbaceae.
GCCAGCCCGCUCAGAAACUACAAGGAAUUGACGGGGCCCGCACAAGCGGUGGAGUAUGUGGCUUAAUUCGAUGCAACGCGAAGAACCUUACCUGGUCUUGACAUCCCGGAGACCCUUAGGAAACUAGGGGUGCUUCCAUCUGGAAGAAUCUGGAGACAGGUGCUGCAUGGCUGUCGUCAGCUCGUGUCGUGAGAUGUUGGGUUAAGUCCCGCAACGAGCGCAACCCUUGCCUUUAGUUGCCAGCAGUUCGGCUGGGCACUCUAAAGGGACUGCCGGUGUUAAACCGGAGGAAGGUGGGGAUGACGUCAAGUCCUCAUGGCCUUUAUGACCAGGGCUACACACGUACUACAAUGGCCGAUACAAAGGGCAGCGACACUGCGAGGUGAAGCCAAUCCCGUAAAAUCGGUCUCAGUCCGGAUUGGAGUCUGCAACUCGACUCCAUGAAGUUGGAAUCGCUAGUAAUCGUGGAUCAGCAUGCCACGGUGAAUACGUUCCCGGGCCUU